CUCGAGAUUGCUUAGUAAUGACCCCUUUAAGCUGGAUAUUCAUCGGAGAUUUUUAAUUUGUAAGUCCAUUAAUUGAACAUUCAAUAAUAGUGCAUUCUUCUACCAACUGUCACUGCAGCCUAAUGACUCUGAAUUAAAAUAAUCAUCAAAAUAGUACUUUAACUUACAUUUGUUAAAAUGGUGAUGCUUAAAGUCAGUCUAACACAUAAAUUCAGAAUACGGAUGUUCAUGAUGUUGUUACAGUAAAUAAGACACAACACUCAGUCAAAGCUAAGUAUGUCGAUGCACAGAGAUAAAAAUUGAUUGAUAAGACUUUUUUUCUUUUUCUCCUCGGUUUUCCUUCUUUCUUUCUUUCAUAAUAAGGCUUCAGACAUGCGUAUUUCUCUUGCAUUUGUUGCUCUUUCAGUCUCUUCUGCCCCUGAACAUGAGUCAAUUUUGAUAACUAAAAACAAGACCACUCGUGCCAGGCUUUUUUCGGUUAUUUCAGUUAUCGAAGUGGUGCCCCAAGUUGCGGCUUGUUCAGUGAAAAGUUUGUGAGAAAUGUGAUACUUUUUGAUCGAGGAUUAUUUUAGGGUAUCCUGUGAGUAUUGAAGUAUUUUUGCACACCUCGCUUCCUCCUUGUCGCACUUCUUUUUUAAAAGACUUAAAACUUCCCUUCAGUAUUUGAAAAACCGGUCUCUAUAAUUUCACAGUUAAGAAAAAAAAAUUUUCUUUCCCGAAGGGUUGUGGGUCGAUAUGGGGCAAUGGCAGUUAUAGGUGUCGUAGAGCGUCAAAACGUACUAUAAAGCAACCUGUUUCUGUAUUGAAAAAAAAAAAAAAAAAAAAAAAAAACUUUUUGAGCAUUUGAAGGGAAACAUGGGAAAUAACAACGGUAGAACUACCAGAUCCCGUCUCUCGGUUUGCGACGUUAUAGAUUUCUUGCCAUACUUUAUUUCUCGAAUGAAAAAUAAUCCAAUGUCAAUUCUUCAAAACCUUCGUGAUUUUUCUUUCCUGUAGGUCUCUGUAUGUCUGAACUCUGUGAAAACUUCAAUGGUAUUGAUUUGUUCUCCAUCAAAAAAAUAAAAUGUGAGCGGAAAUUUUCAAACGUAGCAAACGAGGCUUGUGGUCUGGUAGUUUCAUCGCCGAUAUAUAUUCUAUUCUGUAUCAGUUAUUCUAUUUAAAAGUUUCAUGUAUUUCCCAAGACAAAAUUAAGAGGGUCAUUUAUUGAAUUUUAUUUCCAAAUCAAUUCCCAGAUAAUUUAAAGAAAUCUUUGGAUCAAAAUAGCAUCGGGUUGCAUUUUGACUUAGCUAUCCCCCCCUCCUUUUUUUUUUACUGACAGAUCUACAGUUUGAGCUCCGCAAAAGGCGGAACUGUUAAAUUACGCUUAGUGUCUUAAUGUUAAACUGUAAAUGUGAUAAAGACAUAUAGAACCACGUGGGCAAGCACAAGCAAAUAUUUGACCAAUUAAUAAAAUUCCCUAACGCAAAUUAUGACUAAGGAGCGUUAAUUCAUUGAAUUACUUCUGUUUCGUUUUUAUGUUCCUGGUAAUUAACUGAUGACUUAAUGAGCAGUAAGCACUUACAAAUGCAUGCCUACUGAGAAAUUCUUAGCAUACAAUUUCUAAUUCGAGACAUUGAUGGCCAAAAAAUAAUCUAUUAACUAAUAUUGCAUUUUUUCGCAUAAAACUCCUAAUUCGACACAUUAAUUGCCAAAAAAAUAAUCUAAUAACUAAUGUUGCAUUUAUGAUUUUUUUUCAGGGGCAGAUCCCGGAAAGUCUGGGCUAAUUAAAUGAUGAAGAUAAAUUAACAGCAAAAAGAAGCAUAAUCUAUUCAUGGGUAUUCCAAAAGUAUCAUCUUUUAAAGGCAUGCAGCCUUACUUCGGGCGAUUACUAAACGGGCAAGGUAUGUUUUUUGUUUAAAAAGCUUACAAAGUCUAAUCGUAAAGAAAGUACGCAGGUCAUGAGAUCCAUUCCUAGACUUUUAGACAAAUUUCCUAAUAUUGGCAAUUAAACAACCAGUCAAAUAUCCUCAGCCUCAAUUUUCAAAACAAAUUUCUUUGAAAAUUCACCAAAUUUUUAUCAAUCAAAGUCUACGAGUUCAAUCAUUCAUUUUUAGAAAAUUUAAGAAGCAUUCAAGUCAGCUGAACCUC
Molecule: long non-coding RNA, 2127 nt
Filed under: Bemisia tabaci
Lineage: Eukaryota; Metazoa; Arthropoda; Insecta; Hemiptera; Aleyrodidae
Description: lncRNA ENSSSA2NGG000015
Source: RNAcentral